This 253-nucleotide ribosomal RNA is filed under the name uncultured bacterium. Its description in RNAcentral is "partial 16S ribosomal RNA". It matches the Rfam family "Bacterial small subunit ribosomal RNA", at positions 524 to 776 of the family's 1533-position model. The record is from RNAcentral.
UACGAAGGGGGCUAGCGUUGCCCGGAAUCACUGGGCGUAAAGCGCGCGUAGGCGGUCUCUUAAGUCGGUGGUGAAAUCCUGGAGCUCAACUCCAGAACUGCCUUCGAUACUGAGAGUCUCGAGUCCGGGAGAGGUGAGUGGAACUGCGAGUGUAGAGGUGAAAUUCGUAGAUAUUCGCAAGAACACCAGUGGCGAAGGCGGCUCACUGGCCCGGUACUGACGCUGAGGAGCGAAAGCGUGGGGAGCGAACAGG